Molecule: non-coding RNA, 447 nt
Organism: Labrus bergylta (ballan wrasse)
Lineage: Eukaryota; Metazoa; Chordata; Actinopteri; Labriformes; Labridae
Source: RefSeq, a predicted model, not a curated record
UAUAAAGUUAAUUUUUUAACUUUCAAUAAGACAUGUUUUUAAAACCGUGUUCAUGCUUCUGGAGAAAUCCCCGGAAUAAAAUGUCUUAAUUUUGAAUAUUAAUGGAAAUGUAUUCUUUAUACUUUUCAGUUCAUUUGAAGGUUUUGCAGACAAGAGCUUUUUUUUUACUUUCUUUAGUGAGAGGUUUUGUACGGCGACUCAGUGAGUUUGCAUCACUGUGGUACACAUUUGGUGGAGGAACCAGACUGGAUGUUGGAAGUGAAGCCCGUCCCACCUUGAUGGUUCUGCCCCCUUCCAAUGAGGAGCUGCAGCAGGGAAGGCCACGCUCGUGUGCCUGGCCAACAAGGGCUUCCCCUCAGACUGGAGUCUGGCCUGGAAGGUGGACGGCAUCAGCGGCGGCAGCUGGGAGGAGAGCAGGGGCCCUGCGGUGAUGGAGCAGGACGCUCG